CUGCAUCGUGUGGUACUGAAAAGGUCUUGGGAGGUAGUAUCCUGGCCAGACAUCCACCCAACAAGUGGUAUUAGAGCAAGACGGUAUAAGACGCAGAUUGCAGCGGUGGUGAGCAAGACUAAAGAUGGAGAAGACAUGAUCAAUCAAGAUGGAGAUCAACAAGUUUGAUAGAAAGAGCAAUUUCUUCUUGUGGUAGGCAAAGGUGAAGGACGUGCUCAUCCAGCAAGGAUUGAUCGAUGCUCUUUAGUGCGAGGAGAAGCCGACCACUAUGAAGGUGCGGAAUUGAAAAUGACUACAGAUACAGACAGUGAGUACCAUCC
This 320-nucleotide long non-coding RNA is filed under the name Elaeis guineensis (African oil palm). RNAcentral's name for it is "long non-coding RNA (EGUI_LNC021767)". Lineage: Eukaryota; Viridiplantae; Streptophyta; Magnoliopsida; Arecales; Arecaceae. The record is from RNAcentral.